GUCGGGGGUUCGAGCCCCUCCGGUCGAGCCAUUCAUGGAGGGAGAUCUUCUCUUCUGGUUGGCCGGCCGGGGCUCCCCUGGGGGAGCGCGUGAUGUUGGAGCAUGAGGUCGUCGGUUCGAUCCCGUCUGGCUCCACCAGAUGGUUUGAUCACCGAGAUCUUGACCGUCGUCCGCGAAACAUCACUUCGCAUCCUGCUAGUCUGGAUAGACAGCAGUUUGCGUGUUUUCUGACAUCGUAAAGAGGAGAUCGAUCCGAGUUGGGUCGUGCAGCAUAUCGUUGCGCGAGCCUUCAUUAUCUCCGGAUCAUUUCGGCGCUCGCUUCCAGCCGUGAGGUUGGAUGCGGGUUGUAAAUGAUCCUUUUAGCGAAGCUUGACCGCCUCGCUAUCGGAACGAUCUUACGAAGCAAGCUGGUCUUUCUAGUCAAUGUCCGGCUGCGGAUAGCGUUCAUCGAGGGCGCGUGCCGCAAGGCAAUUCUGCAGACAACAUUCUGCCGAGUGUGUGGACAUUGAUAAUGAGAGCAAUCAAGUGCCUUAAGGGUGUUCGGUGGAUGCCUUGGCGCUGAGAGGCGAUGAAGGACGUGCUACGCUGCGAUAAGCCGUGGGGAGCUGCGAAGAAGCUUUGAUCCGCGGAUUUCCGAAUGGGGAAAACCCGGAA
RNAcentral lists this unclassified non-coding RNA (654 nucleotides) under uncultured Bradyrhizobium sp. RNAcentral's name for it is "partial 16S-23S ribosomal RNA intergenic spacer". The stretch from base 520 to 654 matches the Rfam family "Bacterial large subunit ribosomal RNA", at positions 1 to 133 of the family's 2925-position model. Lineage: Bacteria; Pseudomonadati; Pseudomonadota; Alphaproteobacteria; Hyphomicrobiales; Nitrobacteraceae. The record is from RNAcentral.